Molecule: ribosomal RNA, 1546 nt
Filed under: Acinetobacter pittii
Lineage: Bacteria; Pseudomonadati; Pseudomonadota; Gammaproteobacteria; Moraxellales; Moraxellaceae
Description: bacterial LSU rRNA
Rfam family: Bacterial large subunit ribosomal RNA
Source: RNAcentral
GUUGUAUAGUCAAGUAAUUAAGUGCAUGUGGUGGAUGCCUUGGCAGUCAGAGGCGAUGAAAGACGUGAUAGCCUGCGAAAAGCUCCGGGGAGGCGGCAAAUAUCCUUUGAUCCGGAGAUUUCUGAAUGGGGGAACCCAUCUACUUUAAGGUAGGUAUUGCAACAUGAAUACAUAGUGUUGCAAGGCGAACGAGGGGAAGUGAAACAUCUCAGUACCCUUAGGAAAAGAAAUCAAUUGAGAUUCCCUCAGUAGCGGCGAGCGAACGGGGAUCAGCCCAUUAAGUUAUGUGUGUUUUAGUGGAACGCUCUGGGAAGUGCGAACGUAGAGGGUGAUAUUCCCGUACACGAAAGGGCACACAUAAUGAUGACGAGUAGGGCGAGGCACGUGAAACCUUGUCUGAAUAUGGGGGGACCAUCCUCCAAGGCUAAAUACUCCUGACUGACCGAUAGUGAACCAGUACCGUGAGGGAAAGGCGAAAAGAACCCCUGUGAGGGGAGUGAAAUAGAUCCUGAAACCGCAUGCAUACAAGCAGUGGGAGCACCUUCGUGGUGUGACUGCGUACCUUUUGUAUAAUGGGUCAGCGACUUAUAUUCAGUAGCGAGGUUAACCGUAUAGGGGAGCCGUAGGGAAACCGAGUCUUAAUAGGGCGUUUAGUUGCUGGGUAUAGACCCGAAACCAGGCGAUCUAUCCAUGAGCAGGUUGAAGGUUGGGUAACACUAACUGGAGGACCGAACCCACUGUCGUUGAAAAGCCAGGGGAUGACUUGUGGAUAGGGGUGAAAGGCUAAUCAAGCCUGGUGAUAGCUGGUUCUCCCCGAAAGCUAUUUAGGUAGCGCCUCGGACGAAUACCAUAGGGGGUAGAGCACUGUUUCGGCUAGGGGGUCAUCCCGACUUACCAAACCGAUGCAAACUCCGAAUACCUAUGAGUACUAUCCGGGAGACAGACUGCGGGUGCUAACGUCCGUAGUCAAGAGGAAAACAAUCCAGACCGCCAGCUAAGGCCCCAAAAUCAUAGUUAAGUGGGAAACGAUGUGGGAAGGCAUAGACAGCUAGGAGGUUGGCUUAGAAGCAGCCACCCUUUAAAGAAAGCGUAAUAGCUCACUAGUCGAGUCGGCCUGCGCGGAAGAUGUAACGGGGCUAAAACUAUGUGCCGAAGCUGCGGAUUUGACAUUAGUCAAGUGGUAGGGGAGCGUUCUGUAAGCCGAUGAAGGUGUAUUGAGAAGUAUGCUGGAGGUAUCAGAAGUGCGAAUGCUGACGUGAGUAACGACAAAACGGGUGAAAAACCCGUUCGCCGAAAGACCAAGGGUUCCAGUCCAACGUUAAUCGGGGCUGGGUGAGUCGACCCCUAAGGCGAGGCCGAAAGGCGUAGUCGAUGGGAAAUUGGUUAAUAUUCCAAUACUUCUGUGUAAUGCGAUGAGAGGACGGAGAAGGUUAAGUCAGCCUGGCGUUGGUUGUCCAGGUGGAAGGAUGUAGGUAUGUAUCUUAGGCAAAUCCGGGGUACUCUAUACUGAGAUCCGAUAGCAAGCUGUACUUGUACAGUGAAGUGG